GACGAACGCUGGCGGCGUGCCUAAUACAUGCAAGUAGAACGCUGAAGAGAGGAGCUUGCUCUUCUUGGUUGAGUUGCGCACGGGUGAGUAACGCGUAGGUAACCUGCCUUGUAGCGGGGGAUAACUAUUGGAAACGAUAGCUAAUACCGCAUAACAAUGGAUGACCCAUGUCAUUUAUUUGAAAGGGGCAAAUGCUCCACUACAAGAUGGACCUGCGUUGUAUUAGCUAGUAGGUGAGGUAACGGCUCACCUAGGCGACGAUACAUAGCCGACCUGAGAGGGUGAUCGGCCACACUGGGAAUGGGACACGGCCCAGACUCCUACGGGAGGCAGCAGUAGGGAAUCUUCGGCAAUGGGGGCAACCCUGACCGGGCAACGCCGCGGGAGGGGAGAAGGGUUUCGGAUCGUAAAGCUCGGUUGUAAGUCAAGAACGAGUGUGAGAGUGGAAAGUUCACACUGUGACGGUAGCUUACCAGAAAGAGACGGCUAACUACGUG
RNAcentral lists this ribosomal RNA (497 nucleotides) under uncultured bacterium. Its description in RNAcentral is "partial 16S ribosomal RNA". It matches the Rfam family "Bacterial small subunit ribosomal RNA", at positions 28 to 507 of the family's 1533-position model. The record is from RNAcentral.